UUACAACUUUCCAGUAGAAGCGCAAGGGAUUUAAGUCUCGCAACCAUGAACCAGAAACUCAACCUUCUGCUUUUAGUUAUUGCUCUCAUAUUGAUGUCCGGGAACUUUGUGGAAUCGGAACUCUCAAUAUGCAAAAAUUUACCCAAAAGCAUGUGUACUAGCAUGAAGUAUAACAAUAUGUGUCCGAGUGUAUGUGGAGGUAGAUGAAGACGGUAAUCAAAUAACGUUUACAAUAUAAUGAAUCUCAUGAUUCUGAAGAUAAUACGCACCACACUAAAAAUAUAAUUGGGUGGAAAUGUAAUUAGAUCUGCAGCUCCAGACUGCGAAAAAAACACGAAAAUAACGAUUUAUAAAUACAUAAAUAAAUA
Long non-coding RNA from Nomia melanderi (Alkali bee), 368 nucleotides. RefSeq lists it as uncharacterized. The record is from RefSeq and is a predicted model, not a curated record. NCBI's taxonomy places the organism in Eukaryota, Metazoa, Arthropoda, Insecta, Hymenoptera, Halictidae.